RNAcentral lists this long non-coding RNA (220 nucleotides) under Elaeis guineensis (African oil palm). RNAcentral's name for it is "long non-coding RNA (EGUI_LNC033757)". The record is from RNAcentral. Lineage: Eukaryota; Viridiplantae; Streptophyta; Magnoliopsida; Arecales; Arecaceae.
ACCUGAUUAGGUUAUAAGAUAAUCUAAUCGUUAAGGAUGUUUGAUUCCUGAUUUGAUCAGGACUUGGGCUCGAUUAUUUUUUAAUUGGAUUAGGAUUUGAUUGAGAUAAUUAGGUGCCUAAUUGGAUUGGGUUUAACCUUCUUAAUGGGUCUAACCAAAUUAGAUUUGGAUUAGAACCUAAUGGGAUCAAACGAGAGUCCAAUUAGAUUGGACUUACCCU